GAGGUUUUAUUAUAAUAUAGUAUAUUUUUUUUUCAUAGAAAAGGUUAAAAUCUUA
This 55-nucleotide transfer RNA is filed under the name Halicephalobus gingivalis. RNAcentral's name for it is "tRNA-Glu". Lineage: Eukaryota; Metazoa; Nematoda; Chromadorea; Rhabditida; Panagrolaimidae. The record is from RNAcentral.